CUUGAAAAAAAAGUUCAGAUUUUUUGUAAUGUUGAAUUCUCUCUUAUUAUAAGUAAUAGGAUAACUAUAUUUGAUAUGUGCGUACCUUGCAAGGUCCUCAUGUCUGUCAGACAGUUUUCACUUGACCUCGACCUCAUUUCAUGGAUCAGUAAACAAGGUUAAGUUUUGGUGGUCAAGUCCGUAUCUCAGAUACUAUAAGCAAUAGGGCUUGUAUAUUCGGUGUAUGGAAGGACUGUAAGGUGUACAUGUCCAACUGGCAGGUGUCAUCUGACCUUGACCUCAUUUUCAUGGUUCAGUGGUUAUAGUUAAAUUUUUGUGUUUUGGUCUGUUUUUUUCAUACUAUAUGCAAUAGGUCUACUGUAUUUGUUGUAUGGAAUGAUUGUAAGGUGUACAUGUCUAGCGGGCAGAUGUCAUGUGACCUUGACCUCAUUUUCAUGGUUCAGUGGUUAUAGUUAAAUUUUUGUGUUUUGGUCUGUUUUUUUCAUACUAUAUGCAAUAGGUCUACUAUAUUUGUUGUAUGGAAUGAUUGUAAGGUGUACAUGUCUAGCGGGCAGAUGUCAUGUGACCUUGACCUCAUUUUCAUGGUUCAGUGGUCAAAGUUAAGUUUUGAGUUUUGGUCUAUUUAUCUAAUACUAUAUGCCAUAGGUCAACUAUAUUUGGUGUAUGGAAAUAUUUUAUGAUCUUUAUGUCAGUAGGGC
RNAcentral lists this long non-coding RNA (698 nucleotides) under Mytilus galloprovincialis (Mediterranean mussel). Lineage: Eukaryota; Metazoa; Mollusca; Bivalvia; Mytilida; Mytilidae. The record is from RNAcentral.